GCACAGCUGAGGAGUCCCACAAUAGGACGGAACGACCGUCCAGUGC
RNAcentral lists this non-coding RNA (46 nucleotides) under Schistosoma mansoni. The record is from RNAcentral. Lineage: Eukaryota; Metazoa; Platyhelminthes; Trematoda; Strigeidida; Schistosomatidae.